AUGAGGAGGAUGCAAGAAAUUGAGGAAGAGAAAGCUAGACAAAAGGCUAUGGAAGCCCAAGAGGAGAAGAGAAUUCUGGAAAUGGAAAAGGAAAGGAAAAGCCUAAUGGACCUGGUUCAUAAGCAACAGAUUAUGAUUGCUAAGUGUGUGGAGAAGAUUGAAAGAUGGGACGAAAGGGAAAAUGAAAUAGAAAAUAUCACUAAAGCUGAACUGGAGAAGAUGGAAGAGGAAAACAAAGAUGAAGAUAAUGGUACUUAUGUUGAGCCUGUGGAUUAUGGGGCUAGUCAAAAAUCAGUUGACUCAUUUGCUACCAGAUUGGGCCUAAACCUCAAGGAUCGAAAAGAAGGGACAAUCAUAACAAUGGGGAAGAUGGAGUGA
This 378-nucleotide ribosomal RNA is filed under the name Triticum aestivum (bread wheat). RNAcentral describes it as "partial small subunit ribosomal RNA". Lineage: Eukaryota; Viridiplantae; Streptophyta; Magnoliopsida; Poales; Poaceae. The record is from RNAcentral.